UGACAAGUCCAAUGUGUCAAUGGUGGG
This 27-nucleotide non-coding RNA is filed under the name Rattus norvegicus (Norway rat). The record is from RNAcentral. Lineage: Eukaryota; Metazoa; Chordata; Mammalia; Rodentia; Muridae.